UACGGAGGGUGCGAGCGUUAAUCGGAAUAACUGGGCGUAAAGGGCACGCAGGCGGAUUUUUAAGUGAGGUGUGAAAUCCUCGGGCUCAACCUGGGAAUUGCAUUUCAUACUGGGAAUCUAGAGUACUGUAGGGAGGGGUAGAAUUCCACGUGUAGCGGUGAAAUGCGUAGAGAUGUGGAGGAAUACCGAAGGCGAAGGCAGCCCCCUGGGAGAAUACUGACGCUCAGGUGCGAAAGCGUGGGGAGCAAACAGG
This 253-nucleotide ribosomal RNA is filed under the name uncultured bacterium. Its description in RNAcentral is "partial 16S ribosomal RNA". It matches the Rfam family "Bacterial small subunit ribosomal RNA", at positions 524 to 776 of the family's 1533-position model. The record is from RNAcentral.